CGCAGUAGAGAAAAAGCUAAUUGUGUCAUUGUCAUUUCUCUGGUUGUGUUAGCAACUCACAAACUUGGUGAUUGUUCGUGGAUUUCUUGACUAGAUUGCAAACAAUAGCUCGGUGUGUUGCCACCUCCAUAUUGUUAGUUUCUGCUUUGCUAUGGCAAAACGCUCUUCUCUAGUGUUCUUCCCUCGUAAUCACACCAUUGAAGUUUUUGCACAUCACUGUCCUAAUCGGGUCUCACCAAUAUAAAUCCCCGUGAAUGGAGAGGGGGAACGCCUAUAGAGACGCAGGUUGUGCGAAGAGGAAGAAACGGUCUAGUUCAUAGUUGGUUCAAGGAUUCAAUAUCUUCGUACAAUGUACAUUGGUGCAAGUUUUAGUAUUUUGAGUUAGGAGAUAAUUUCUUGUUUAGAACGAGAUACUUGCUCUUCGUUAAUAAUAGAUUAAGGUAAGCAUUCUAAUCCUUGAUUAUACUUUAUGUUUAUACAAUAAAGUUUGUUUCUCAAA
Non-coding RNA from Cucurbita pepo subsp. pepo (vegetable marrow), 499 nucleotides. The record is from RefSeq and is a predicted model, not a curated record. Lineage: Eukaryota; Viridiplantae; Streptophyta; Magnoliopsida; Cucurbitales; Cucurbitaceae.